CUGGCGGCGUGCUUAACACAUGCAAGUCGAGCGAAGCACUUAAGUUCGAUUCUUCGGAUGAAGACUUUUGUGACUGAGCGGCGGACGGGUGAGUAACGCGUGGGUAACCUGCCUCAUACAGGGGGAUAACAGUUAGAAAUGGCUGCUAAUACCGCAUAAGACCACAGUACAGCAUGGUACAGUGGUAAAAACUCCGGUGGUAUGAGAUGGACCCGCGUCUGAUUAGGUAGUUGGUGAGGUAACGGCCCACCAAGCCGACGAUCAGUAGCCGACCUGAGAGGGUGACCGGCCACAUUGGGACUGAGACACGGCCCAGACUCCUACGGGAGGCAGCAGUGGGGAAUAUUGCACAAUGGGCGAAAGCCUGAUGCAGCGACGCCGCGUGAAGGAUGAAGUAUUUCGGUAUGUAAACUUCUAUCAGCAGGGAAGAAAAUGACGGUACCUGACUAAGAAGCCCCGGCUAACUACGUGCCAGCAGCCGCGGU
RNAcentral lists this ribosomal RNA (485 nucleotides) under uncultured bacterium. Its description in RNAcentral is "bacterial SSU rRNA". It matches the Rfam family "Bacterial small subunit ribosomal RNA", at positions 36 to 521 of the family's 1533-position model. The record is from RNAcentral.